UAUUGAAUAGGCGAUGGAGUUCGCCAUUAACCGCGAAAGCUAAUGACUCCUACUCUUUA
This is a regulatory RNA element of Turicibacter sp. H121, 59 nucleotides long. It matches the Rfam family "Fluoride riboswitch aptamer (crcB RNA motif)". The record is from Rfam. Lineage: Bacteria; Bacillati; Bacillota; Erysipelotrichia; Erysipelotrichales; Turicibacteraceae.